Molecule: ribosomal RNA, 489 nt
Filed under: uncultured bacterium
Lineage: Bacteria
Description: partial 16S ribosomal RNA
Rfam family: Bacterial small subunit ribosomal RNA
Source: RNAcentral
GAUGAACGCUAGCUACAGGCUUAACACAUGCAAGUCGAGGGGCAGCAUGAUUGAAGCUUGCUUCAAUCGAUGGCGACCGGCGCACGGGUGAGUAACACGUAUCCAACCUGCCGAUAACUCGGGGAUAGCCUUUCGAAAGAAAGAUUAAUACCCGAUAGUAUAGUAUUUCCGCAUGGUUUCACUAUUAAAGAACUUCGGUUAUCGAUGGGGAUGCGUUCCAUUAGAUAGUUGGCGGGGUAACGGCCCACCAAGUCAACGAUGGAUAGGGGUUCUGAGAGGAAGGUCCCCCACAUUGGAACUGAGACACGGUCCAAACUCCUACGGGAGGCAGCAGUGAGGAAUAGUGAUCAAUGGACGAGAGUCUGAACCAGCCAAGUAGCGUGAAGGAUGACUGCCCUAUGGGUUGUAAACUUCUUUUAUACGGGAAUAAAGUGGAGUAUGCAUACUCCUUUGUAUGUACCGUAUGAAUAAGGAUCGGCUAACUCCGUG